UACGUAGGGUGCGAGCGUUGUCCGGAAUUAUUGGGCGUAAAGAGCUUGUAGGCGGUCUGUCGCGUCUGCUGUGAAAACCUGAGGCUCAACCUCAGGCCUGCAGUCGAUACGAGCAGACUAGAGUGUUGCAGGGGAGACUGGAAUUCCUGGUGUAGCGGUGAAAUGCGCAGAUAUCAGGAAGAACACCAGUGGCGAAGGCGGUUCUCUGGGACGGUACUGACGCUGAGACGCGAAAGCGUGGGGAGCGAACAGG
Molecule: ribosomal RNA, 253 nt
Filed under: uncultured bacterium
Lineage: Bacteria
Description: partial 16S ribosomal RNA
Rfam family: Bacterial small subunit ribosomal RNA
Source: RNAcentral